CCAAGUUAUUAUAUUAAUGAGAAACCAAACUGUUUUUUAACUUCUGGUUGAUUAUGAAACUGUAAACUGAUGAUGACACUGCACAUGAAGAUCAGUUUGAGGAAUUUUUAAUAAAAGCCCCACCUAGUGGUCAUCAAGAUCACGAGAGGUAUGUUCAGAGAUUUGGAUUCUUUGUGUUGAUAGGAGGAAAAAAAUUACAUUUGUUUUGUGACUCAGAAGAUAUGAUUAAAAG
This 232-nucleotide long non-coding RNA is filed under the name Cyanistes caeruleus (blue tit). RNAcentral describes it as "lncRNA (ENSCCEG00000011704.1)". Lineage: Eukaryota; Metazoa; Chordata; Aves; Passeriformes; Paridae. The record is from RNAcentral.